GAAAGAUUCAUCGGAAGAGGAUGGGCAUGCGGCGCAUUAGCUAGACGGCGGGGUAACGGCCCACCGUGGCGACGAUGCGUAGGGGUUCUGAGAGGAAGGUCCCCCACACUGGUACUGAGACACGGACCAGACUCCUACGGGAGGCAGCAGUGAGGAAUAUUGGUCAAUGGGAGAGAUCCUGAACCAGCCAAGCCGCGUGAGGGAAGACGGCCCUAUGGGUUGUAAACCUCUUUUGUCGGAGAACAAAACCCGGGACGUGUCCCGGACUGCGUGUAUCCGAAGAAAAAGCAUCGGCUAACUCCGUGCCAGCAGCCGCGGUAAUACGGAGGAUGCGAGCGUUAUCCGGAUUUAUUGGGUUUAAAGGGUGCGUAGGCGGUCCGUUAAGUCAGCGGUAAAAUUGCGGGGCUCAACCCCGUCGAGCCGUUGAAACUGGCAGACUUGAGUUGGCGAGAAGUACGCGGAAUGCGCGGUGUAGCGGUGAAAUGCAUAGAUAUCGCGCAGAACUCCGAUUGCGAAGGCAGCGUACCGGCGCCAGACUAACGCUGAGGCACGAAAGCGUGGGGAUCGAACAGGAUUAGAUACCCUGGUAGUCCACGCAGUAAACGAUGAAUGCUGGUUGUCCGGGUCGAAUGAGAUCUGG
Molecule: ribosomal RNA, 640 nt
Filed under: uncultured bacterium
Lineage: Bacteria
Description: bacterial SSU rRNA
Rfam family: Bacterial small subunit ribosomal RNA
Source: RNAcentral